GAGGGGUAGAGAGUGCUUGCACUCUUGAGACCGGCGCACGGGUGCGUAACGCGUAUGCAAUCUGCCCUCUACAGGGGAAUAGCCCAGGGAAACUUGGAUUAAUGCCCCAUAGUAUUAAGGAACGGCAUUGUUCYUUAAUUAAAGAUUUAUCGGUAGAGGAUGAGCAUGCGUACCAUUAGCUAGUUGGUGUGGUAACGGCACACCAAGGCUACGAUGGUUAGGGGCCCUGAGAGGGGGAUCCCCCACACUGGUACUGAGACACGGACCASACUCCUACGGGAGGCAGCAGUGAGGAAUAUUGGACAAUGGGCGARAGCCUGAUCCAGCCAUGCCGCGUGCAGGAAGACGGCCCUAUGGGUUGUAAACUGCUUUUUUACGGGAAGAAACACCUCUACGUGUAGAGGCUUGACGGUACCGUACGAAUAAGGACCGGCUAACUCCGUGCCAGCAGCCGCGGUAAUACGGAGGGUCCGAGCGUUAUCCGGAAUCAUUGGGUUUAAAGGGUCCGUAGGCGGGCGACUAAGUCAGUGGUGAAAUUCUGCAGCUCAACUGUAGAACUGCCAUUGAUACUGGUCGUCUUGAAUCGUUGUGAAGUGGCUAGAAUAUGUAGUGUAGCGGUGAAAUGCUUAGAUAUUACAUAGAAUACCGAUUGCGAAGGCAGGUCACUAACAACGCAUUGACGCUGAUGGACGAAAGCGUGGGGAGCGAACAGGAUUAGAUACCCUGGUAGUCCACGCCGUAAACGAUGGAUACUAGCUGUCCGGCGCACAUUGGUGUGCUGGGUGGCCAAGCGAAAGUGAUAAGUAUCCCACCUGGGGAGUACGUUCGCAAGAAUGAAACUCAAAGGAAUUGACGGGGGCCCGCACAAGCGGUGGAGCAUGUGGUUUAAUUCGAUGAUACGCGAGGAACCUUACCAGGGCUUAAAUGUAGUCUGACAGGAUUGGAAACAGUCUUUUUCUUCGGACAGAUUACAAGGUGCUGCAUGGUUGUCGUCAGCUCGUGCCGUGAGGUGUCAGGUUAAGUCCUAUAACGAGCGCAACCCCUGUUGUUAGUUGCCAGCGAGUCAUGUCGGGAACUYUAACAAGACUGCCGGUGCAAACCGUGAGGAAGGUGGGGAUGACGUCAAAUCAUCACGGCCCUUACGUCCUGGGCCMCACACGUGCUACAAUGGCAGGUACAAUGGGCAGCCACUGCGCAAGCAGGAGCGAAUCCACAAAACCUGUYUCAGUUCGGAUCGGGGUYUGCAACUYGACCCCGUGAAGCUGGAAUCGCUAGUAAUCGGAUAUCAGCCAUGAUCCGGUGAAUACGUUCCCGGGCCUUGUACACACCGCCCGUCAAGCCAUGGAAGCUGGAAGCACCUGAAGUCCGUCACCGCA
RNAcentral lists this ribosomal RNA (1376 nucleotides) under Aequorivita antarctica. RNAcentral describes it as "bacterial SSU rRNA". Lineage: Bacteria; Pseudomonadati; Bacteroidota; Flavobacteriia; Flavobacteriales; Flavobacteriaceae. The record is from RNAcentral.